RNAcentral lists this ribosomal RNA (218 nucleotides) under uncultured bacterium. RNAcentral's name for it is "partial 16S ribosomal RNA". It matches the Rfam family "Bacterial small subunit ribosomal RNA", at positions 1283 to 1500 of the family's 1533-position model. The record is from RNAcentral.
ACGUCCCAGUUCGGACUGCAGUCUGCAACCCGACUGCACGAAGCCGGAAUCGCUAGUAAUCGCGGAUCAGAAUGCCGCGGUGAAUACGUUCCCGGGUCUUGUACACACCGCCCGUCACACCAUGGGAGCUGGAAAUGCCCGAAGUCGGUGACCCAACCGCAAGGAGGGAGCCGCCGAAGGCAGGUCCGGUAACUGGGGUGAAGUCGUAACAAGGUAGC